ACGGAGGGGGUUAGCGUUGUUCGGAAUUACUGGGCGUAAAGCGUACGUAGGCGGAUUAGAAAGUAUGGGGUGAAAUCCCAGGGCUCAACCCUGGAACUGCCUCAUAAACUUCUAGUCUAGAGUCCGAGAGAGGUGAGUGGAAUUGUGAGUGUAGAGGUGAAAUUCGUAGAUAUUCACAGGAACACCAGUGGCGAAGGCGGCUCACUGGCUCGGUACUGACGCUGAGGUACGAAAGUGUGGGGAGCAAACAGG
RNAcentral lists this ribosomal RNA (252 nucleotides) under uncultured bacterium. Its description in RNAcentral is "partial 16S ribosomal RNA". It matches the Rfam family "Bacterial small subunit ribosomal RNA", at positions 525 to 776 of the family's 1533-position model. The record is from RNAcentral.